UACGGGAGGCAGCAGUAAGGAAUAUUGGUCAAUGGGCGCAAGCCUGAACCAGCCAUGCCGUGUGCAGGAAGACGGCCCUCCGGGUUGUAAACUGCUUUUAUACCGGAAUAAACCUCCCUACGUGUAGGGAGCUGAAUGUACGGUAGGAAUAAGGAUCGGCUAACUCCGUGCCAGCAGCCGCGGUAAUACGGAGGAUCCGAGCGUUAUCCGGAUUUAUUGGGUUUAAAGGGUGCGUAGGCGGCCUGUUAAGUCAGGGGUGAAAGACGGUGGCUCAACCAUCGCAGUGCCCCUUGAUACUGACGGGCUUGAAUUAACUAGAGGCAGGCGGAAUGUGACAAGUAGCGGUGAAAUGCAUAGAUAUGUCACAGAACACCGAUUGCGAAGGCAGCUUGCUAUGGUUAUAUUGACGCUGAGGCACGAAAGCGUGGGGAUCAAACAGGAUUAGAUACC
Molecule: ribosomal RNA, 450 nt
Filed under: uncultured bacterium
Lineage: Bacteria
Description: bacterial SSU rRNA
Rfam family: Bacterial small subunit ribosomal RNA
Source: RNAcentral